Molecule: ribosomal RNA, 497 nt
Filed under: uncultured bacterium
Lineage: Bacteria
Description: partial 16S ribosomal RNA
Rfam family: Bacterial small subunit ribosomal RNA
Source: RNAcentral
GAUGAACGCUGGCGGCGUGCCUAAUACAUGCGAGUCGAGCGAACAGAUAAUGAGCUUUCUCUUUUGACGUUAGCGGCGGACGGGUGAGUAACAAGUGGGUAACCUACCUAUAAUACUGGAAUAAUUCCGGGAAACCGGGGCCAAUGCUAGAUAAAAUUUAGAACGGCAUGAUUCUAAGGUGAAACAUGGUUUUGCUAUCACUUAUAGAUGGACCCGCGCCGGAUUAGCUAGUUGGUAAGGUAACGGCUUACCAAGGAAACGAUACCUUACCGACCUGAGAGGGAGAACGACCACCACGGAACUUGAACACGGUCCCGAAUCCCACGGGAGGCCACAGUAGGGAAAUAUCCGCAAUGGGGGGAAAGCUGGCGGAAGACAGCCGGCGUAGGUAUAAAAGGCUUCGGGGUGUAAAACUCUUUUAGUUGGGAAAAAAAAAUGUGUAAGUAACUGUGCGCGGCUUGACGGUACCUAAUCGGAAAGGCACGGCUAACUACGUG